AGCUUUCCCUUCUUUGUUCUUCUCUUUUAAUUUUUAACCAUCGCCAAAAUACUUUUCUUUAACAAUAAUAAUUUAGUUUGAUGUUCAAAUAUUUUCUUAGGUUUUUUAUUUCAUUUGAAAAAAUAAAUAAACAUUGGAACUUCAUUAUAUAUUUACAAGAAACUGCGAAUGAGUGAUCCUCACGACCCUUUCGAUUUGCCAACAU
This is a long non-coding RNA of Arabidopsis thaliana (thale cress), 205 nucleotides long. RefSeq annotates it as other RNA. The transcript has a single exon. NCBI's taxonomy places the organism in Eukaryota, Viridiplantae, Streptophyta, Magnoliopsida, Brassicales, Brassicaceae. The record is from RefSeq.